CCGCGGAGCCCCCGCCGCCCGCCGGGGCCGCCAUCUUCCGCUCACGUGACCGCAGCAGGCUCGCCUCAAACAACUUUAUCCGCAACAGCCGGGACGUACGGCCACGCGGCCUCGGGGGCGGGGCCGACUCGCUUCCGAGCCCCGCCCCCGGCUCCGCCCCCGGAGCGCUGGUUACUCGCCUAGCUCUGCCCCGGUGCGGUAAGAGCAGGCGGGUGGCUGUUCCAGGCGCCCCGACGGCGGGACCCAAAGGGCUUUUCCCCAGAAGGACACCCUUCGGUCAGGGUCACACUGUCUCUUCAUCCUCGCUAUGCUGCCUGCGGCCAGCCUGGGGUCCUGCAGCCACCUGUAGGCAACCAAAUGCUGGAUAUGCCCACGCCAGUGUCGGCCUUCUUUUCACCUACGCUGAUCCUGCCUCCCUCACCUCAGAUGUCCCUUCUCAUGUCAACCUGACACAAGCUGGAGUCAUCUGAAAGUCAAUCGAGGAAAUGCUGCCACAAGAUCCAGCUGUAGGGCAUUUUCUUAAUUUGCGAUUGAUGUGAGAGGGCCCAGCCCAUGGUGGGUGGUACCAUUCUGGGGCUGGUGGUCCUGGGUUCUAUAAGAAAGCAGGCAGAGCAAGCCAUGAGGAGCAAGCCAGUGAGCAGCACCCUCCAUGGCCUCUGCCUCAGCUCCUGACUCCAGGUGCCUGUGCUGUUUGAGUUCCUGUCCUGCCUGUCUCCGGUGACAGAGAUAGAUGUGGAAGCAUAAGCCAAAUAAACCCUUUCCUCUCCA
Molecule: long non-coding RNA, 768 nt
Organism: Psammomys obesus (fat sand rat)
Lineage: Eukaryota; Metazoa; Chordata; Mammalia; Rodentia; Muridae
Exons: 2
Source: RefSeq, a predicted model, not a curated record